RNAcentral lists this transfer RNA (57 nucleotides) under Ovis aries (sheep). It matches the Rfam family "tRNA", at positions 8 to 63 of the family's 71-position model. From Rfam's summary of the family: Transfer RNA (tRNA) molecules are approximately 80 nucleotides in length. Lineage: Eukaryota; Metazoa; Chordata; Mammalia; Artiodactyla; Bovidae. The record is from Rfam by way of RNAcentral.
UAUCUCAGUGGGUAAAGAAUUUGCCUGCAGUGCAGAAGACCCAGGUUCAAUACCUGG